CAAUUAUUUACAUACACUAUAAAAAAAACAAUAUCCUUCCCAAAAAUGACUUACAAGACACUCUAUUAUACAAAAUAACUAUUUACAAAUUGAGAUAGCGUAAACAUAGAAUUUAGUAACAUUAAUAACAAUUACUAUUUAACGGUAGAGCUCUGAUUUAACGGGGACAGAGACAUAUAAUACAUUGUUUUAUUAUAUGUCUGUGACGGGGACUAUUAUGCUGUUAGUAUGAUAGUUCCGGCAAUUUAACAAAUUGAUCCUCAAAAGGACGGUGUUGCUAUUGUGGGUCAGGGACUUGCCGGGCCGCCUUGGUGCACUAAGCUCUCGAACCUGCACUAAGACCAGGAUGGAACACUAUAGCGAACUUUCUAUACUACUGAAAAGUCCAUGUGUGGGCUUGUCAGAUAAAAAUAGACAACGCUUAUAUUUUAGAAUAAAAAAGUGAAGAAUAGAAAUAUUACUAUACAUUGUACGGACAUUUAGACUAAUGCACUAGCUGUGAUACAGCGGAAGAAAUAAUGUCGAGUGUAGCAAAGAUGAAAAAAAAACAAAAAACAACGAUUUUAAUAAUGCUAAAAACUAUAUAGUUUCAAAUCAAGGGCAAAACGUACGCUAUGGCCCGGAUUCCGACACUGACCUAGCAAUUUACGAUAUAAUUAAACAAUUAAAAACCUUGUAAAAAAAUUACAGAAAAAAAGUCUGUUAUUUUCCUUUAACUGGGAAUAUUAUGAUACUUUGUGAACAUUAUAUAUACAUCUUCAAUCAGUGUUUUAAAGUCAUAUCAGAUAAAUAAAAAAAAA
Molecule: long non-coding RNA, 800 nt
Filed under: Mytilus galloprovincialis (Mediterranean mussel)
Lineage: Eukaryota; Metazoa; Mollusca; Bivalvia; Mytilida; Mytilidae
Source: RNAcentral